Molecule: ribosomal RNA, 395 nt
Filed under: uncultured bacterium
Lineage: Bacteria
Description: bacterial SSU rRNA
Rfam family: Bacterial small subunit ribosomal RNA
Source: RNAcentral
GUGUCAGCCGCCGCGGUAAUACGGAGGGUGCAAGCGUUAAUCGGAUUUAUUGGGCGUAAAGGGCGCGUAGGCUGAUGAAUAAGUCGGGUGUGAAAUCCUGGGGCUUAACCCCAGGGCUGCACCUGAAACUGUUUGUCUAGAGGAUAGGCGGAGAAAACGGAAUUCCACAAGUAGCGGUGAAAUGCGUAGAUAUGUGGAAGAACACCGGUGGCGAAGGCGGUUUUCUAGCUUACUCCUGACGCUGAGGCGCGAAAGUUAGGGGAUCAAACAGGAUUAGAUACCCUGGUAGUCCUAACCGUAAACGAUGUAUACUUGGUGUAGCUGGUCUCAACCCCAGCUGUGCCGUAGCUAACGCGAUAAGUAUACCGCCUGGGGAGUACACUCGCAAGGGUGAA